GCGCGCAAUUACCCAAUCCUGACUCAGGGAGGUAGUGACAAGAAAUAACAAUAAACCGGCUUAUGCCGGUUUAAUUGGAAUGAGUACAAUUUAAACAUCUUAACGAGGAACAAUUGGAGGGCAAGUCUGGUGCCAGCAGCCGCGGUAAUUCCAGCUCCAAUAGCGUAUACUAAAGUUGUUGCAGUUAAAAAGCUCGUAGUUGGAUUUCUGUGGGGACGGAGCGGCCGGCCGCACAUCGCGGUUCGAGCUAGCGCUUUCCCUACAUCCUGCCGCGAACCGUGCUACCAUUAGUUUGGUGGCGCCGGGGAUCGGCUCGAUUACUUUGAGAAAAAUAGAGUGUUCAAAGCAGGCCACAUGCCUUGAAUAAGUUAGCAUGGAAUAAUAACUAAGGACUUCGGUUCUAUUUUGUUGGUGUUCGGGACUGAAGUAAUGAUUGAUAGGGACAGUUGGGGCGGUCUGUAUUCCAAAGCGAGAGGUGAAAUUCUUAGACCUUCGGAAGACAAACAGCUGCGAAAGCGUUCCGCAAGGAUGUUCCCUUUGAUCAAGAACGAAAGUUGGGGGAUCGAAGACGAUCAGAUACCGUCGUAGUCUCAACUAUAAACUAUACCAGCUAGGGAUCGGCCAACGUUAUUUUAUACCGACUUGGUCGGCACCUUAUGAGAAAUCAAAGCAUCUGGGUUCCGGGGGGAGUAUGGUCGCAAGGCUGAAACUUAAAGGAAUUGACGGAAGGGCACCACCAGCCGUGGAGCCUGUGGCUUAAUUUGACUCAACACGGGAAAACUUACCAGGUCCAGACAUAGUAAGGAUUGACAGAUUGAUAGCUCUUUCUUGAUUCUGUGGGUGGUGGUGCAUGGCCGUUCUUAGUUGGUGGAGUGAUUUGUCUGGUUAAUUCCGUUAACGAACGAGACCCCAGCCUGCUAAAUAGCGCGCGUGAGCUUUGCUCGCGGCGAGCUUCUUAGAGGGACUAUGAUGCGCGAUAGCACAUGGAAGUUUGGGGCAAUAACAGGUCUGUGAUGCCCUUAGAUGUUCUGGGCCGCGCACGGGCUACACUGGCGCCUGCAACGAGCAUAUCAGCUGGCCCGAGAGGGUCUUGGCUAAUCUUUUGAACCGGCGCCGUGCUUGGGAUUGACCUUUGCAAUUGUUGGUCAUGCAACGAGGAAUGCCUUGUAAACGCGAGUCAUCAGCUCGCAUUGAAUACGUCCCCGCCCUUUGUACACACCGCCCGUCGCUCCUACCGAUGAAUGUUCCGCUGAAAUUUUCGGAGAGCACCUGUGAACUUGGCUCUGCCUUGCGAACGGGAGGCUCAAAGUCACUAAAUUCUGAACAUUAA
Molecule: ribosomal RNA, 1330 nt
Filed under: uncultured marine eukaryote
Lineage: Eukaryota
Description: SSU rRNA
Rfam family: Eukaryotic small subunit ribosomal RNA
Source: RNAcentral